CAGAGGUCCCAAGCGUUAGGCGGAAUCACUGGGCUUAAAGCGUGUGUAGGCGGAUUUGUAAGUACCUUGUGAAAUCCCACGGCUCAACCGUGGAACUGCUUGGUAUACUGCUUAUCUUGGGCCAUCUAGGGGCGAGCGGAACAAACGGUGGAGCGGUGAAAUGCGUAGAUAUCGUUUGGAACGCCAAUGGUGAAAACAGCUCGCUGGGGAUGUGCCGACGCUGAGAUACGAAAGCCAGGGGAGCGAACGGGAUUAGAUACCCCGGUAGUCCUGGCUGUAAACGAUGUCGACUAGAUCGUAGUGGCUCUGACGCUAUUACGGUCGAAGCAAAAGUGCUAAGUCGACCGCCUGGGAAGUACGGUCGCAAGGCUA
This 372-nucleotide ribosomal RNA is filed under the name uncultured organism. RNAcentral's name for it is "bacterial SSU rRNA". It matches the Rfam family "Bacterial small subunit ribosomal RNA", at positions 526 to 896 of the family's 1533-position model. The record is from RNAcentral.